RNAcentral lists this unclassified non-coding RNA (305 nucleotides) under plant metagenome. Its description in RNAcentral is "partial contains 5.8S ribosomal RNA, internal transcribed spacer 2, and large subunit ribosomal RNA". The stretch from base 1 to 105 matches the Rfam family "5.8S ribosomal RNA", at positions 50 to 154 of the family's 154-position model. The record is from RNAcentral.
GAAAUGCGAUAAGUAAUGUGAAUUGCAGAAUUCAGUGAAUCAUCGAAUCUUUGAACGCACAUUGCGCCCGCCAGUAUUCUGGCGGGCAUGCCUGUUCGAGCGUCAUUUCAACCAUCAAGCCCCCGGCUUGUGUUGGGGACCUGCGGCUGCCCGCAGGCCCUGAAAAACAGUGGCGGGCUCGCUGUCACACCGAGCGUAGUAGCAUACAUUCUCGCUCAGGGCGUGCUGCGGGUUCCGGCCGUUAAACGACCUUCAUAACCCAAGGUUGACCUCGGAUCAGGUAGGAAGACCCGCUGAACUUACGC